This 253-nucleotide ribosomal RNA is filed under the name uncultured bacterium. RNAcentral's name for it is "partial 16S ribosomal RNA". It matches the Rfam family "Bacterial small subunit ribosomal RNA", at positions 524 to 776 of the family's 1533-position model. The record is from RNAcentral.
UACGGAGGGGGCCAGCGUUGUUCGGAAUCAUUGGGCGUAAAGGGCGCGUAGGCGGCUUUGUAAGUCCGUUGUGAAAUCCCUCGGCUCAACCGAGGAACUGCGACGGAUACUGCUUGGCUUGAGUCCCGGAGAGGGUAGCGGAAUUCCCAGUGUAGCGGUGAAAUGCGUAGAUAUUGGGAGGAACAUCGGUGGCGAAGGCGGUCUUCUGGACGGUGACUGACGCUGAGGCGCGAAAGCGUGGGGAGCAAACGGG